This 433-nucleotide ribosomal RNA is filed under the name uncultured bacterium. Its description in RNAcentral is "partial 16S ribosomal RNA". It matches the Rfam family "Bacterial small subunit ribosomal RNA", at positions 29 to 507 of the family's 1533-position model. The record is from RNAcentral.
AACGAACGCUGGCGGCAUGCCUAACACAUGCCAGUCGAACGAUCCCUUCGGGGAUAGUGGCGCGCGGGUGCGUAACGCGUGGGAACCUGCCCUUAGGUUCGGAAUAACUCAGAGAAAUUUGAGCUAAUACCGGAUAAUGUCUUCGGACCAAAGAUUUAUCGCCUUUGGAUGGGCCCGCGUUGGAUUAGCUAGUUGGUGGGGUAAAGGCCUACCAAGGCGACGAUCCAUAGCUGGUCUGAGAGGAUGAUCAGCCACACUGGGACUGAGACACGGCCCAGACUCCUACGGGAGGCAGCAGUGGGGAAUAUUGGACAAUGGGCGAAAGCCUGAUCCAGCAAUGCCGCGUGAGUGAUGAAGGCCUUAGGGUUGUAAAGCUCUUUUACCCGGGAUGAUAAUGACAGUACCGGGAGAAUAAGCCCCGGCUAACUCCGUG